CUUUGCGUAUUUAUCACUCCAGUUGCUAGAAUUUUCUUGUUUGUUUAACAUCACCCGGCAUACAGUUUUAUAGUAAUAAUAUGAGAGUUAUCUUUUUUAUGUUUUGUGCAAGUGUGUUUUCUAAUGGAGGUACUCAACCAUCUUAUAAUAAUGUCAGCAGAUCGCAAGGAAAUUCAUUUACACCAAAUAUACAGACAUCAAGUGAUGAGACAUCAACAUCAUCGAGCUACAGAGUUUUGUCAGAACAGAUUCCAGACCAAAAGUUUGCUAUCAAGCAAAGACAGCAAAGUAUAUGGACGAGUACAACACAAACACGACGUAUAAUUGACAAUCACAAUCAAGGAAGCAGAACAUUAAUUUUGAUGAGAGGUUUACCAGGGAGUGGCAAGUCUUUCUUGGCAAAGACCCUAGCCGAAACCAUGUGUCCUAUGAUUGACUAUAAAACAUUUGUGUUUAGCACCGAUGAUUUUUUUGUUCAUAAAGGGAAAUAUGAAUUUGAUAGAAGCAGAUUACAAGAAGCUCAUACUUGGAACCAAAAUAGAGUAAGAGCUGAGAUUGAUCGUGGCUUAAGUCCUAUUUUCGUUGAUAAUACUAAUAUAGAAAUGUGGGAAAUGGAGCCUUAUGUUCGGGACGGUGUUAGGAAUGGAUAUAUAAUUGAAGUUUUAGAACCUAAAACUCCUUGGGCUAGAGACGCUGAACAAUUAUUUCACAAAAACAGCCAUAAUGUUACACUUAAUUAUAUAGAAGAAAAGCUGAGUCAUCUUUUUUCAACGAAUAUUACUGGGGAUUCUGUAAUAAGACAUUUUAAGUUAUUUUACCCCACGGAUAAAGUACUUCCGGUAAUAAGAAAUUUUCCUCCUGUUUCCUAUUGUUAUAAUAGUAAACAUGCUGUACUACUUGUUUAAGAUUCAUGUGUUAGAAAUGAAUGUAUUUAUUUAAGUAGUUUAAAGAGUAUUUGCUUAUUAUAAGUGUAACAUAAUUUUUGUACAACAUUCACUAAAGGAAACAAAAUCAAAAUAACUUGUCAAUAAUUCUACACGUAAUGAUCCUUAAUAAUAGAUUUAUUUAUUGGUACUAAUCAUACACUGUCAAUAUUGGUUAAAAAUUACAAUUAUGAUCAAAAUUAAAUAUGUAUAUGUCAAUUAGUAAUUCGGAAAUUAAUACAAAGGUAAAUUAAGUCAGUCCAAUUAAAGCUUGCAAUAAAUUAAAAUAAAAUAAAAAAUAAA
This is a long non-coding RNA of Cydia pomonella (codling moth), 1226 nucleotides long. RefSeq lists it as uncharacterized. The record is from RefSeq and is a predicted model, not a curated record. Lineage: Eukaryota; Metazoa; Arthropoda; Insecta; Lepidoptera; Tortricidae. The transcript is spliced from 2 exons.